Molecule: transfer RNA, 114 nt
Filed under: Rasamsonia emersonii
Lineage: Eukaryota; Fungi; Ascomycota; Eurotiomycetes; Eurotiales; Trichocomaceae
Also listed under: 1 other name
Description: tRNA-Met
Rfam family: tRNA
About the family: Transfer RNA (tRNA) molecules are approximately 80 nucleotides in length. Their secondary structure includes four short double-helical elements and three loops (D, anti-codon, and T loops).
Source: RNAcentral
GCUUCCAUGGUGUAGCUGGUCAUCACGUAGGUCUCAUACGAUGUAUGUAUGACAUUGAGGGGGCAAAACCUCAAUGAUAUCCUAAGGUCCAGGGUUCGAACCCCUGUGGAAGCA